CGGGGUGUAGCUCAGUUGGUAGAGCGUACGACUCGGGUUCGUAAGGCCGCUGGUUCAAGUCCAGUCACCCCGACCA
Molecule: transfer RNA, 76 nt
Filed under: Candidatus Berkelbacteria bacterium
Lineage: Bacteria; Candidatus Berkelbacteria
Description: tRNA-Pro
Rfam family: tRNA
About the family: Transfer RNA (tRNA) molecules are approximately 80 nucleotides in length. Their secondary structure includes four short double-helical elements and three loops (D, anti-codon, and T loops).
Source: RNAcentral